Molecule: ribosomal RNA, 798 nt
Filed under: uncultured soil archaeon
Lineage: Archaea
Description: bacterial SSU rRNA
Rfam family: Archaeal small subunit ribosomal RNA
Source: RNAcentral
AGCGCACAGUCAGUAACACGUGGCUAACCUGCCCUUGGGACAGAGACACCCCCGGGAAACUGGGGCUAAUCCCUGAUAGGCGAAGAACCCUGGAAUGAGUCUUCACCCAAAAGACGCCUAGGCCACGCUUCUAGGCACCGCCCAAGGAUGGGGCCGCGACCGAUCAGGUUGUUGGUGAGGUAACGGCCUACCAAGCCUUUUACCGGUACGGGCCGUGAGAGCGGGAGCCCGGAGAUGGGCACUGAGACAAGGGCCCAGGUCCUACGGGGCGCAGCAGUCGCGCAAACUUUGCAAUACACGAAAGUGUGACAGGGCUAUCCCGAGUGCCGCCCGCUGAGGGUGGCUUUUACCCAGUAUAGCAAGCUGGGAGAAUAAGGAGAGGGCAAGUCUGGUGUCAGCCGCCGCGGUAAUACCAGCUCUCCGAGUGGUGUGGAUGUUUAUUGGGCCUAAAGCAUCCGUAGCUGGCCGACCAAGUCCCCUGUUAAACCCAACGAAUUAAUCGUUGGAUCGCGGGGGAUACUGCUCGGCUAGGGGGCGAGAGAGGCCGACGGUAUUUCCGGGGUAGGGGUGAAAUCCUAUAAUCCCGGGAAGACCACCAGUGGCGAAGGCUGUUGGCUAGAACGCGCUCGACGGUGAGGGAUGAAAGCUGGGGGAGCGAACCGGAUUAGAUACCCGGGUAGUCCCAGCUGUAAACUAUGCAGGCUAGGUGUUUGGGCGGCCACGCGCCGCUCUAGUGCCGCAGGGAAGCUGUUAAGCCUGCCGCCUGGGGAUACGUCGCGAAGAUUGACUUAAAGGCCA